RNAcentral lists this long non-coding RNA (706 nucleotides) under Amborella trichopoda. RNAcentral describes it as "long non-coding RNA (ATRI_LNC000033)". Lineage: Eukaryota; Viridiplantae; Streptophyta; Magnoliopsida; Amborellales; Amborellaceae. The record is from RNAcentral.
UUUUUUUGUAAAUAUCCCUGAAAUUUAUUUGCCGUAUAAUUUUACAAUAGCAUAAAUCAUGUCAGUACUCGGAUUUAGUGACACAUUGAUCACACAUAAAUAUCAGGUAACUCCCUAUAUAUUGUAGUUCGUGUUUAUGCUUUUUCAAAGCCCUCCACCAUAUGUGGUGCAAGUCAAUAUAUCUUUAUUUAUACAAAUAAAUGCAAAAUUGAUGCCUUUGGGUGUUGAGGUAUGUCAGUUGAGAAACUUGUCAAACCAAUCGCUUGCUUCUUUCACCAUCAAGGGCGUCAUCUCAUGCCCAAUUCCUGGUUCAGAUAUGAACUGCAUUCAUAUAAAUUUGUUAGAGAAAGAAUUCCAAGUAGUGGGUUAUCAACUAAUACUAAUGAAAAAAAGGAUAACAAAGAAAUUCUAAAAAAGUGCCUUUAUAUAAAUAUGUUUGCCUAUACAGGUAUGUAUGUAUGUACAUAUGAGCUUCAAUACAGGCGGUUCAACUUAUAUUAUUAUGUAGGCUGCAAAAUCUUUUAUAUAUGGAAAAAGUUUAUAUAGGGUUGAAACCUUAAAAUGUAUAAUUAUAGAUGCACCUCAAAAAUCCAUCGAAAACGGUUGUUUAAUGUUGAAAAAAUCCUUUAAUUGAUCAUCUCGACAUCGAGAAUGCAGGAAUAUGAAAAAAAAAAAGAUUUUGAGUGGCAUAAAUAGUGCAUCUUGC